GGUCGUGUGGCCCAAUGGCAAGGCGCUUGACUACGAUAUUUCCUGUCCAUCAAGAGAUUCCAGUAUGCAUCACCCACAUGCCUCAUACGUCUUUACAGCUCAUUCUAACGAUUCAAUAGGGUUCGACCCCUGGCACGAUCA
This is a non-coding RNA of Neohortaea acidophila, 141 nucleotides long. The record is from the annotation of a RefSeq genome assembly. Lineage: Eukaryota; Fungi; Ascomycota; Dothideomycetes; Mycosphaerellales; Teratosphaeriaceae.